This 937-nucleotide ribosomal RNA is filed under the name uncultured archaeon. RNAcentral's name for it is "bacterial SSU rRNA". It matches the Rfam family "Archaeal small subunit ribosomal RNA", at positions 1 to 922 of the family's 1478-position model. The record is from RNAcentral.
UUUCCCGGUUGAUCCCCGCUGACCCGACUGCUAUUUGGGUGAGAAUAAGCCAUGCGAGUCGAAUGGGAUACCUAAACUUCCCAUGGCAAACUGCUCAGUAACACAUGAUCAACUUAACCUAUAGAGAAAAAUAAUCUCGGGAAACUGAGGAUAAUGUUUCAUAGUUGAAUCGGCUUGGAAAAGUUUUUCAAUCAAAAGGAUAAGAAAAAUGGUUCUUAUUCGCUAUAGGAUAGGAUCGUGGACGAUUAUGGUUGUUGGUGAGGUAACGGCUCACCAAGCCGAUAAUCGAUAGGGGCCGUGAGAGCGGGAGCCCCGAGAUGGGUACUUAGACAACGACCCAGGCCUUACGAGGCGCAGCAGGCGCGGAACCUCCGCAAUACACGAAAGUGUGACGGGGUUACCCAAAGUGUUCAGUUUUGGACUGUGGUAGGUGAGUAAUGUUCCCUACUAGAAAGGAGAGGGCAAGGCUGGUGCCAGCCGCCGCGGUAAAACCAGCUCUUCAAGUGGUCGGGAUAAUUAUUGGGCUUAAAGUGUCCGUAGCCGGUUUAGUAAGUUCCUGGUAAAAUCGGGUAGCUUAACUAUCUACAUGCUAGGAAUACUGCUAUACUAGAGGGCGGGAGAGGUCUGAGGUACUACAGGGGUAGGGGUGAAAUCUUAUAAUCCUUGUAGGACCACCAGUGGCGAAGGCGUCAGACUGGAACGCGCCUGACGGUGAGGGACGAAAGCCAGGGGAGCGAACCGGAUUAGAUACCCGGGUAGUCCUGGCCGUAAACGAUGCAUACUAGGUGAUGGUGUGGCCAUGAGCCGUAUCAGUGCCGUAGGGAAACCGUUAAGUGUGCCGCCUGGGAAGUACGGUCGCAAGGCUAAAACUUAAAGGAAUUGGCGGGGGAGCACCACAAGGGGUGAAGCCUGCGGUUCAAUUGGAGUCAACGCCGGA